Molecule: ribosomal RNA, 301 nt
Filed under: uncultured bacterium
Lineage: Bacteria
Description: partial 16S ribosomal RNA
Rfam family: Bacterial small subunit ribosomal RNA
Source: RNAcentral
CAGCAGCCACGGGAAUACAGAGGGUGCGAGCGUUAAUCGGAUUUACUGGGCGUAAAGCGUGCGUAGGCGGCUAAUUGAGUCGGAUGUGAAAUCCCCGAGCCUAACUUGGGAAUUGCAUUCGAUACUGGUUAGCUAGAGUGUGGGAGAGGAUGGUAGAAUUCCAGGUGUAGCGGUGAAAUGCGUAGAGAUCUGGAGGAAUACCGAUGGCGAAGGCAGCCAUCUGGCCUAACACUGACGCUGAGGUACGAAAGCAUGGGGAGCAAACAGGAUUAGAUACCCCCGUAGUCCCUGUCUCUUAUAC